This 253-nucleotide ribosomal RNA is filed under the name uncultured bacterium. Its description in RNAcentral is "partial 16S ribosomal RNA". It matches the Rfam family "Bacterial small subunit ribosomal RNA", at positions 524 to 776 of the family's 1533-position model. The record is from RNAcentral.
UACGUAGGCAGCGAGCGUUGUUCGGAAUUAUUGGGCGUAAAGAGCUCGUAGGCGGUCUGUCACGUCGGAUGUGAAAACUCGGGGCUCAACCCCGAGCCUGCAUUCGAUACGGGCAGACUAGAGUUCGGUAGGGGAGACUGGAAUUCCUGGUGUAGCGGUGAAAUGCGCAGAUAUCAGGAGGAACGCCGGUGGCGAAGGCGGCCUGCUGGGCAGUUGCUGACACUGAGGCGCGACAGCGUGGGGAGCAAACAGG